CAGUCGCCGCGGUAAAACGUAGGUCCCGAGCGUUGUCCGGAUUUAUCGGGCGUAAAGGGAGCGCAGGCGGUUUAGUAAGUCAGAAGUUAAAGGCAUUGGCUCAACCAAUGUAUGCUUUGGAAACUGUUAGACUUGAGUGCAGAAGGGGAGAGUGGAAUUCCAUGUGUAGCGGUGAAAUGCGUAGAUAUAUGGAGGAACACCGGUGGCGAAAGCGGCUCUCUGGCUUGUAACUGACGCUGAGGCUCGAAAGCGUGGGGCGCAAACAGGAUUAGAUACCCCCGUAGUCCCUGUCUCUUAUACC
RNAcentral lists this ribosomal RNA (301 nucleotides) under uncultured bacterium. Its description in RNAcentral is "partial 16S ribosomal RNA". It matches the Rfam family "Bacterial small subunit ribosomal RNA", at positions 509 to 808 of the family's 1533-position model. The record is from RNAcentral.